CGAGUCAUUGUAGCAUACAAGGCAUACGGCUCAGUAACGCGUAGUCCACCUAACCUAUGGACGGGAAUAACCUCGGGAAACUGAGAAUAAUGCCCGAUAGAACAUUAUGCCUGGAAUGGUUUAUGUUCCAAAUGAUUUAUCGCCGUAGGAUGGGACUGCGGCCUAUCAGUUUGUUGGUGAGGUAAUGGCCCACCAAGACUAUUACAGGUACGGGCUCUGAGAGGAGUAGCCCGGAGAUGGGUACUGAGACACGGACCCAGGCCCUAUGGGGCGCAGCAGGCGAGAAAACUUUGCAAUGUGCGAAAGCACGACAAGGUUAAUCCGAGUGGUUUCUGCUAAAGAAACCUUUUGUCAGUCCUAGAAACACUGAUGAAUAAGGGGUGGGCAAGUUCUGGUGUCAGCCGCCGCGGUAAAACCAGCACCUCAAGUGGUCAGGAUGAUUAUUGGGCCUAAAGCAUCCGUAGCCGGCUCUGUAAGUUUUCGGUUAAAUCUGUACGCUCAACGUACAGGCUGCCGGGAAUACUGCAGAGCUAGGGAGUGGGAGAGGUAGACGGUACUCGGUAGGAAGGGGUAAAAUCCUUUGAUCUAUUGAUGACCACCUGUGGCGAAGGCGGUCUACCAGAACACGUCCGACGGUGAGGGAUGAAAGCUGGGGGAGCAAACCGGAUUAGAUACCCGGGUAGUCCCAGCUGUAAACUAUGCAAACUCAGUGACGCAUUGGCUUGUGGCCAAUGCAGUGCUGCAGGGAAGCCGUUAAGUUUGCCGCCUGGGAAGUACGUACGCAAGUAUGAAAC
Molecule: ribosomal RNA, 794 nt
Filed under: uncultured crenarchaeote
Lineage: Archaea; Thermoproteati; Thermoproteota
Description: bacterial SSU rRNA
Rfam family: Archaeal small subunit ribosomal RNA
Source: RNAcentral